ACGCACGCUGGCGGCGUGCUUCACCCCUGCCAGUCGCACGGAAAGGCCCUGCUUUUGUGGGGUGCUCGAGUGGCGAACGGGUGAGUAACACGUGAGUAACCUGCCCUUGACUUUGGGAUAACUUCAGGAAACUGGGGCUAAUACCGGAUAGGAGCUCCUGCUGCAUGGUGGGGGUUGGAAAGUUUCGGCGGUUGGGGAUGGACUCGCGGCUUAUCAGCUUGUUGGGGGGGUAGUGGCUUACCAAGGCUUUGACGGGUAGCCGGCCUGAGAGGGUGACCGGCCACAUUGGGACUGAGAUACGGCCCAGACUCCUACGGGAGGCAGCAGUGGGGAAUAUUGCACAAUGGGCGGAAGCCUGAUGCAGCAACGCCGCGUGCGGGAUGACGGCCUUCGGGUUGUAAACCGCUUUCGCCUGUGACGAAGCGUGAGUGACGGUAAUGGGUAAAGAAGCACCGGCUAACUACGUG
RNAcentral lists this ribosomal RNA (467 nucleotides) under uncultured bacterium. RNAcentral's name for it is "partial 16S ribosomal RNA". It matches the Rfam family "Bacterial small subunit ribosomal RNA", at positions 29 to 507 of the family's 1533-position model. The record is from RNAcentral.